RNAcentral lists this ribosomal RNA (497 nucleotides) under uncultured bacterium. RNAcentral describes it as "partial 16S ribosomal RNA". It matches the Rfam family "Bacterial small subunit ribosomal RNA", at positions 28 to 507 of the family's 1533-position model. The record is from RNAcentral.
GAUGAACGCUGGCGGCGUGCCUAAUACAUGCAAGUCGAGCGAACAGACGAGGAGCUUGCUCCUCUGACGUUAGCGGCGGACGGGUGAGUAACACGUGGAUAACCUACCUAUAAGACUGGUAUAACUUCGGGAAACCGGAGCUAAUACCGGAUAAUAUAUUGAACCGCAUGGUUCAAUAGUGAAAGACGGUUUUGCUGUCACUUAUAGAUGGAUCCGCGCCGCAUUAGCUAGUUGGUAAGGUAACGGCUUACCAAGGCAACGAUCCGUAGCCGACCUGAGAGAGUGAUAGGCCACACUGGAACUGAGACACGGUCCAGACUCCUACGGGAGGCAGCAGUAGGGAAUCUUCCGCAAUGGGCGAAAGCCUGACGGAGCAACGCCGCGUGAGUGAUGAAGGUCUUCGGAUCGUAAAACUCUGUUAUUAGGGAAGAACAAAUGUGUAAGUAACUAUGCACGUCUUGACGGUACCUAAUCAGAAAGCCACGGCUAACUACGUG